GCGGUGUGGUGCUUUGUCUCAGCGGUCGUGAUUGGCGGCAUGUCGUUGUAGGCCCCCUUGAUUGGGACGUCAGAGCGGGCGCAAGACCCAUGACGACGGUUGCCGCGGUCAAUGCUUUGCUGGCACGUCGAGUCGGGUUGUUUGAGAGUACAACCCAAAGCGGAUGGUAUAUCCCAUCUAAGGCUAAACAUUGCUCUGAGACCGAUAGCGAACAAACAAAGUGAGGGAAAGUUGAAAAGUACUCUGAAAAGAGAGUUAAACAGGACGUGAAACCGUUCAAAAGAAAACUGACGGAGCUGUCGUUGUU
RNAcentral lists this ribosomal RNA (307 nucleotides) under Aonchotheca paranalis. RNAcentral's name for it is "partial large subunit ribosomal RNA". It matches the Rfam family "Eukaryotic large subunit ribosomal RNA", at positions 140 to 439 of the family's 3401-position model. The record is from RNAcentral. Lineage: Eukaryota; Metazoa; Nematoda; Enoplea; Trichinellida; Capillariidae.